Molecule: small nuclear RNA, 104 nt
Organism: Sphaerodactylus townsendi
Lineage: Eukaryota; Metazoa; Chordata; Lepidosauria; Squamata; Sphaerodactylidae
Source: RefSeq, a predicted model, not a curated record
AUGCUAAUCUUUGGCAGCACAUAUACUAAAAUUGGAACGAUGCAGAGAAGAUUAGCAUAGCCCCUGUGCAUGACACGCAAAUUCAUGCAGCGUUCCCUAUUUCU